Molecule: ribosomal RNA, 654 nt
Filed under: uncultured bacterium
Lineage: Bacteria
Description: partial 16S ribosomal RNA
Rfam family: Bacterial small subunit ribosomal RNA
Source: RNAcentral
GUUUUUUUUUUUUUUUUGAACGAACGCGCGCCCGGAGGAGAGACGCCCCCCCCUACGCUGGUGGUGGUGCGGACCCCCCCGCGGNCGCNGCGGGGGUGGGGCAAAAUGUUUUCUUUUUUUCCCUUUUGGGGGCCUUAUUAAAAACAACCGGGUGGGGGCCAAGGGUUUUUUCCCCACCCUCUUGUUUUCUUGAAAAAAUUUUGGGGGAUAAAUGCCCCCCAAAAAGGGGGGGCCCACCCCCUUUUUUUUCCCGGGAGCCCCCCCCAAAAAAAAUGGGGGAUUUUUGGAAAAGCCUUCCCCGGGAAAAAUUGGAAGAAAGGGGGGGGAAUACGUUAAAUUCAUCAUGCCCCCUUAGAACCAGGGGUACCCCCCGGGCUUCCAAAGGGGCGUAAACCAAAGGGGAGGCGAAGGUGGUGACACGAAGCAAAUCCGGAAAAAUAACGUCUCAGUUCGGAUUGUAGUCUGCAACUCGACUACAUGAAGCUGGAAUCGCUAGUAAUCGCGAAUCAGAAUGUCGCGGUGAAUACGUUCCCGGGUCUUGUACACACCGCCCGUCACACCAUGGGAGUCGGAAAUGCCCGAAGUCAGUGACCCAACCGAGAGGAGGGAGCUGCCGAAGGUGGAGCCGGUAACUGGGGUGAAGUCGUAACAAGG